AGCUACAGGAAGAAUGGAGAACGAGGGAGAGACGUUCUUUCCACAUCUGAGCUGACUGGCGCAUGCAGGCGGGCUGCCGCUCCAGCUCUCUCUGCCAAGACAGCUAUCUUUCACAGAGCUGUCAGCGGUGUGACUGGCAGCCUGUCACUGGCUCUGCACACCUCCUUCUCCCUCUGCCUUCCCUCCGCCUCGGGUUGAACCUACCACAAGACUCGGGGAGAGCAGACAUGCCGUCUGUGCCACAGUGCCACGCCCAAGGGAUAUCAGCUGCGGAUGGUACUGUGACAUCUUCUACGAUUUGAUGCGUGUCGUCAGUCAUGACCCGUCAAAAAGGAUCUCAUGGAGAAGAGGUUGGCUAGCAUGGUCGACAGGCCCUGGGCCAGACAGCUCUGGGCUAUGAAGCCUGCCUUCAGCUCAGCCAGGCAGAUAGCAUCGUCACCCUCCUUCCAGUUCCAGCUUGGAAUGUUCAGCAGAUGGGCCUUCAUCGCAAGACAGACAGAAGAGGUCACAAGACACAGAAAACUGAGCAAAUGAUUCAUAUUAAGGAAUACUUCAAAAUUGUGGGAAAUAUACUUAUUUGGUCUCUGGCGGAAAGUUAGCUUUAGAUGAGAAGAUUGAUACCCAUGUCUGCAUGGUAAAUGCCUUUUCUGGCAUUCCAUUGUAGCACAUUUUCUGUAAGACAUUUGUAUUGUAGAUUUGACGGUUUCCACAUUUUUCCCCCACAUUUUUGUUAAUACAAUAUUUUGUCCACACAAGCUUAUUUAUUAUUAUUGUUGUUGUUAUUAUUAUUAUUAGCUUAUUUAUUUAUAACACGACUAUUUUUCAAUGUGCAUUGUUUUUUUUCUUUUUGAGGAUAGGCAACACUGGAGAAACUAGCAAGGGAAUCCCCCAAAACAUAUUUUCAUGCUAAAAGAGUGCUCGGGUGUGCACAGGUAGGCAGGUAGGUACGUUGGUUGCAUUCGGACAGAAUAAACUGUUAUUACAGUCCUGCGACAGCCACAGACUCUGUAUUUUUUGUGUCACAACAUUUGAUUUAUUAAUUGCUGUCGGAUUAUAAUGAGA
Molecule: long non-coding RNA, 1062 nt
Organism: Micropterus dolomieu (smallmouth bass)
Lineage: Eukaryota; Metazoa; Chordata; Actinopteri; Centrarchiformes; Centrarchidae
Exons: 3
Source: RefSeq, a predicted model, not a curated record